CAGUAGCCACGGGAAUACAGAGGGUGCGAGCGUUAAUCGGAUUUACUGGGCGUAAAGCGUGCGUAGGCGGCUUCUUAAGUCGGAUGUGAAAUCCCUGAGCUUAACUUAGGAAUUGCAUUCGAUACUGGGAAGCUAGAGUAUGGGAGAGGAUCGUAGAAUUCCAGGUGUAGCGGUGAAAUGCGUAGAGAUCUGGAGGAAUACCGAUGGCGAAGGCAGCCAUCUGGCCUAAUACUGACGCUGAGGUACGAAAGCAUGGGGAGCAAACAGGAUUAGAUACCCCUGUAGUCCCUGUCUCUUAUAA
This 301-nucleotide ribosomal RNA is filed under the name uncultured bacterium. RNAcentral's name for it is "partial 16S ribosomal RNA". It matches the Rfam family "Bacterial small subunit ribosomal RNA", at positions 509 to 809 of the family's 1533-position model. The record is from RNAcentral.